CUUUUUCUCGAUGAGCCGGUGCGGCAGUUUGUAGGUCUCCUGCAAGGCGCACGGGAAGGCGGUGGGCACCAGAGGAAGCGGUCCAAGCCAUUUCAUAGAAGCAUCAAGCCCACACCUUGCAUAGCCCAGCCAAGCUCAAAGGAGAGGGGCCAGGUAGGGUCGUGACUUCGCGUGCGCAUAGGCUGCAGGAGCCCUGGUAAAAGCCCCCCGGAUGCGGCCAGAGCUGCUCCGAGUCGAGAGCCGCGCAGAACGCAGGGCUGGAGCCGAGGCUUGAAGGGGCCGGGGAGUGCCAACUUACCCAGGCACGUCUGGCCGCUGCCAGGGAGGGAAGGAGCGACCUGCCCGCCCUCCCCCGGCUUCAUCACAUGAGUCUCACGUGUUGGACAACGCUCCCGCGACUGCGAGGGAGCCCCCACCCCCAGCCCUGGCCCCCAGGUGUCUGCGGCUGCGGCUGCCUUUCCCCGAAGAGGGGGUGGCAGCACGGCCUGGGUCCUGCCCAACCGGGUGGGGGGCGCGGAAGCUGGAAGGGGCCGGGGAGCCGCUGGGGCCGGGUGGGGGGGGGGUUGGUAACGUGGGCGAACCUGCCCCAGGGAAAUGAAGUAAGUUCCCGUCUCCUGGGAGGGAACGGGGGAGGACGGAUCCGCCCGCGUCUGACUCAAGCCGGGAGAGGAAUAUCCCCUCGCUCGCUCCAGCCCAACCCUCUUCCUCCUCCCCCGCCCGGCCGGCUCCGAGGAACCGGCGCGCAGCGGAGGGAGUCGCCCGGCCCCCCUGCCGUCCCCAGAGGCUGGUGUUUCUUUCCGUCCCGGCUUCCCCGCCCCCAGCCCUCAGCCGGGCGUCCAGGAAUUGCCCGCCGUGGGGAGGGGCCGAGGGGCGGGGCGGAUGUCACCCCAUGGGAAGCGGGCUGGCAGCCAAGCGCAGGGGCAGCCGAGGCCGCUGCCGAGCACGCUGCGCGCACCUGACCGCGGAGCGUGUGCGCCACGGCCCCCUCGCUCCCCGGGAGCUCCGCUCCUGGGUACAGCCUGCGGGCCGGCGGGCACCCUCUUGCGCACCCCCCGGGUGUCCCAGUGCCCACUUCCACCCCACUUCGGCUAGUCCGGCACAGAAAGAUACCGGGCGCGGUGCCCUGCGUUCCCUCCCUCCCCUGCCCCCUCCGGAGCAGAGGCUCCCGGGUCGCCUUCCCCUCCGGCUGCAACGUUACACAACUGCGGUGGCGACGCCUGCCCUGCAGCAGCACGGGGCGUGACGCUUCACGUGGCCAGAGCCCGGGCCACAGGGCCGCCGCCUGCGAGUCCCUCUGCGUCGCCCGUGGGACCCAGACCCCGGGGACGCGGUGUGCCCGCCGGGGUGGGCCAUCUCCCUGCCUGCCAGGAACUUGGGCGGCGCUGUUGGCGGUCUGCACCCGGAGCGGGAGGAAAGAGAGAGACUAGAAAAAACUGUGUGUCCAUCACAUUGAAAUCUUAGCAUUCAUUCAGUCGAUACACAUUUGUUGAGGCCCCUCCUGUGUGCCGGGCGUUGUGACCGUUGCUAGAGAUACUGUGGGGAAUCAGACAGAUUCUGCCCUUGAAUUUACAGGAACCUCUGGAAAAAGGAUAAAUUGGGCAAUGAGGGGAAGGCAGCCCUGGGAAAAUUAUAUAGGUGCCACUGGCUGCCAGAAAAAAGAUAAGUUUGUUUUGUUUUGUUUCAAAAUUUAUUUAAUACGGACCAAGAUGCAUGGGAAGAGAAGGAGGAAGCUAACCCACUGCCCUGAGCUUGGGGCAGAAAGGCCUCCCCCAAGCAGCCCCAGAUCUCCGUAAAGCGCGCUGGUGGGCGGGGGGAGCGGAGGGGGACCUACGUCCCCCGGCAAAGUCCGGGCUCUGUGACCUUCUAACUCAGCCUGGAGCAGGGAAAACAGCUGAAACUCCAAGCCCGCGGUAUGAGCCGCGCUGAUGCAGUCAGAGGAGGGAGCCAGUGGAAAUUCAUGACUAAAAUAAGGCCUGGCUGGGGAUUUCACUGACCUCUGCGCUGCCCUGCCCUGCAAGUUCGGGGAGUUGAGAGAUGACUGUAAGCCGUGGCCUGGCGGUGGGAAGGAUUGGAAAAAACAAAAAACGGGGUCGCUGCGGGGACUGGGUGAAGCUUCUCGGGCGCAGUUUGGGGGUGUCAGUCUUAAUUGGCAGUGUCCUUGACAACCUAGAGAACUGGGAUUCACACUUUGACCAAACUGGGAGUGGAUUUCCUUCAGGUCGCUUUGGAGAGCUCCCACUUCCUGUUUAUGUUUCACAAGCGUCGAACUCAUUAGCAAGUGUGAGAAAUGCCUCCUUUUCUAACUAACUGGCGUGACCUCUCUUGGGGGCUUAGGGAUCCUUCCCUCCCAGAAUGUACUUUUGCUGGUUUCUGUUGUCAGCCAUCUCUAGGGAGGGAAUGAUUGCGCCGCAGCUUCCUGCCGGGAGGUGGGCAGCAGAACCACAGAGGAAGGAGGGGACCGGCCUGCCCGGGUUUGUGCUUUCAAUCUAGGGCGACCUGCUUCAUUGUGCGACUUUAGUAAGGGUGAAGGAUUGUCAUGACUGCACCAAAACCACAGUUCCACCAGGAAAGAAGCGCUGGGGGAGGAAGGAACACCUGUCCCUGAACCAUCAUACAUCUCGCUCCCCCCAUGCCAGACAUGAACCCAAACAUUUCAGUUUCCAUGGCACAGUGUCGUUCUUAGAAUGUUUUGAUGUUAUCAAUACUUUUUGUCCUUACCUGUUCUACAGUUGGAAAUAACAAAAUAUAUGCAUUUCCUACUUUUUGUUCCAAAUGCAUUCUUAAGCUUCAAGAAAUAUCUCCAAGUAGAAAAAGAAAGAAUCUCCACCCUACAAAAGUUCUAUCCUAUCCAGAUUUUAUAUAUUUUAUACCGUUUCCAGAUUUUAUAUAUUUUAAACCAUUUAGUCUGUUUUUCUUUUCUCAAUAGCUUGUGAUUAUUUUUUCAUCAAUUUAAACAAAAUAAUUCCUUCCCAGCCUGCAUCUUUCCACCCUGAAGAAUCUUAAAAUUUCACUGUCAUCUUUUGUAGAUACUUGUUUAAUGUUGUUUUAUUUUUUAGACUGCAAAAACUUUGUCUAUGUUAAUUCAUUUAGUCCUCCCCCCCACCCUAUAAGGCAGGUAUUAGCUUAUUUUUACAUUCAUUUAACACAUAUUUAUUGAGAACCACUAUGUGCCAGGCACUGAAGUAGAUCCUAGGAAUAUAUGUGUCCUCUUAAGGAAACUGAGGCUCAGGGAGGUUAAAUAACCUGCCCCAGGUUAUAUAGCCUGAGAUUAGAUCUGGAACGAGACCCUAGGUUUGUUUGGCUCCGAAGCUUGUACUCUUAAUCAUUCUACUCUCGACUGCCUGGUAGGGUUGUUAUGAGUUAUGCACUGUUCAACUCCAGGGGGAGCCAUUCGCAUCACAGUCUGUGUGAGAGCACCCUCUCGAGUUGUGCAUUGUAGCACUGAGCAGCUGCACUGGGUACUUCUGACAUUUUGUAGCCCUCCCCUCUGCUUUGUCCUUUUAAGUGUAGAGAGAACAUAAUUUUGUACAGGGAAGGACCGGAUUUUCCUUUUCUUUUCCUACUGAGACUCAGCAUUUUGAAGAUCUGAUGCUGUGUGCUGGGGAGAGUCUAUACUGUUACCUGGCCCCUUCCUGUGUAGGAAGUUAGAGCUCACUUUCUUUCUUGCUCAGAUAACAUCAUUUUUUGUCUGUUUAUGGAUCCUCAGGAAAUUUUUUUAUCACAUUUCACAUAUCACAUUUUUAUGUAUCAAUAAACACAUACAAACACGUACACUUUAAGGACAUUAAGCAUAGGGCAGCCAAGUACUGAUGGGGCUAUGGCAACAAGCUGCCACUACCUUCUCUCUCUUACUACUGAGUAACCAUUGCUCACUUAAAGAAAAACUUAAACCAUUUAGGAAGAAGCCAGCUCAAUGUAUUUUGGACACCUGGGUGGCUCAGUUGGUUAAGUGUCUGCCUUCAGCUCACGUCGUAAUCUCCGUGUCCUGGGAU
Long non-coding RNA from Callorhinus ursinus (northern fur seal), 3992 nucleotides. RefSeq lists it as uncharacterized. Lineage: Eukaryota; Metazoa; Chordata; Mammalia; Carnivora; Otariidae. The record is from RefSeq and is a predicted model, not a curated record.